UGCAAGUUCGAACGCUUCUUUUUCCACCGGAAGCUUGCUCCACCGGAAAAAGAAGGAGUGGCGAACGGGUGAGUAACACGUGGGUAACCUUGCCCAUCAGAAGGGGAUAACACUUGGAAACAGGUGCUAAUACCGUAUAACAAUCAAAACCGCAUGGUUUUGAUUUGAAAGGCGCUUUCGGGUGUCGCUGAUGGAUGGACCCGCGGUGCAUUAGCUAGUUGGUGAGGUAACGGCUCACCAAGGCCACGAUGCAUAGCCGACCUGAGAGGGUGAUCGGCCACAUUGGGACUGAGACACGGCCCAAACUCCUACGGGAGGCAGCAGUAGGGAAUCUUCGGCAAUGGACGAAAGUCUGACCGAGCAACGCCGCGUGAGUGAAGAAGGUUUUCGGAUCGUAAAACUCUGUUGUUAGAGAAGAACAAGGAUGAGAGUAACUGUUCAUCCCUUGACGGUAUCUAACCAGAAAGCCACGGCUAACUACGUGCCAGCAGCCGCGGUAAUACGUAGGUGGCAAGCGUUGUCCGGAUUUAUUGGGCGUAAAGCGAGCGCAGGCGGUUUCUUAAGUCUGAUGUGAAAGCCCCCGGCUCAACCGGGGAGGGUCAUUGGAAACUGGGAGACUUGAGUGCAGAAGAGGAGAGUGGAAUUCCAUGUGUAGCGGUGAAAUGCGUAGAUAUAUGGAGGAACACCAGUGGCGAAGGCGGCUCUCUGGUCUGUAACUGACGCUGAGGCUCGAAAGCGUGGGGAGCAAACAGGAUUAGAUACCCUGGUAGUCCACGCCGUAAACGAUGAGUGCUAAGUGUUGGAGGGUUUCCGCCCUUCAGUGCUGCAGCUAACGCAUUAAGCACUCCGCCUGGGGAGUACGACCGCAAG
This 870-nucleotide ribosomal RNA is filed under the name Enterococcus faecium. RNAcentral's name for it is "bacterial SSU rRNA". It matches the Rfam family "Bacterial small subunit ribosomal RNA", at positions 56 to 892 of the family's 1533-position model. The record is from RNAcentral. Lineage: Bacteria; Bacillati; Bacillota; Bacilli; Lactobacillales; Enterococcaceae.